UCCUGCCGAUGUGGCAGACAAUGGCUUGGCUUUAGCUGCUGCUGCGGACGCACCAGCCUUUCAUUUCCACUGAAAACUCGCCCGAUCCACCCUAACAAACGGCUGCAAUUAACUUUUGUCCUUCUGGAGGGAUGCUGAGUUUUUGGGCUGUUUCAAGCUGGUCGUCCCUGAGGACUCGGGAGUACUGGUGACAUUCCCGGAGAAAUAAGACCGGCUGCACUGAAAAAAUAAAACCACUGAGAUGAAGUCGGCAGCUCUUUUGUUCUUCCUCUGGAUACUCUGGCUGGUUUGAUGUGCCCAGACCUUGGUGCCACGGAUCUCGCUAAGGAACUACCCACCAGCUGAAAACCCAGAGGGAAAAAGGGAGGAGAGAGAAGAAUGAGGACAGGUUAAACCCUUACAGUCAGAUGCCACCAAAGCAAUAAAACUCUGGCAGCGAAAUUGAGUAAGAGACAGCUUAGAAGUGGGAAUGCCGCAAAGAGGAGAAAGGGGUGAAGUCAGGAGGGGUCUCUAAAUCCAGUGCUUGGGGUGGAGAGCGUCCAGCUCCGCAUCCAGAGGGACGCAUUGCCAGCGCUGGACGCACUCCGGGGGCUGGGGCAGCGGGUCCCGGGCCAGGGACCCCACAAGAGGGG
This is a long non-coding RNA of Poecile atricapillus (Black-capped chickadee), 632 nucleotides long. RefSeq lists it as uncharacterized. Lineage: Eukaryota; Metazoa; Chordata; Aves; Passeriformes; Paridae. The transcript has 3 exons. The record is from RefSeq and is a predicted model, not a curated record.